CAAGCAGCCAACCAGCCAAGCAUCAAGGCAUAUGCUAGUCUAAGAUGCCUUUUUGAUGCUGUCCUAUCUAGUCUAAGAUGCCUAGGACUGUCCUACCCUAAAAGUAGUCAACAAAAGUGGUGCUGCAGCAAGCAUAUGCUGCAGCCCCACUGUCCUCCUUCAGUCAACAAAGGACUAGCAGUAUCUACAGCAGCCCCACUGUCCUCCUCCAGUCAACAAGGAGGACAGCAGU
This 232-nucleotide long non-coding RNA is filed under the name Setaria italica (foxtail millet). RNAcentral describes it as "long non-coding RNA (SITA_LNC006665)". Lineage: Eukaryota; Viridiplantae; Streptophyta; Magnoliopsida; Poales; Poaceae. The record is from RNAcentral.